This 93-nucleotide small RNA is filed under the name Staphylococcus aureus. Its description in RNAcentral is "3'UTR". The record is from RNAcentral. Lineage: Bacteria; Bacillati; Bacillota; Bacilli; Caryophanales; Staphylococcaceae.
AAAGUAAUCGCCACUUCCAGCUUCAUCACUACCAAUACAGUUAAAUUGAUCAUACAUUAAAGUUUGUUCAAGAAAAGAAUUAGCCAUAUUUUU